This 558-nucleotide ribosomal RNA is filed under the name Pasteurella multocida. RNAcentral describes it as "bacterial SSU rRNA". It matches the Rfam family "Bacterial small subunit ribosomal RNA", at positions 127 to 680 of the family's 1533-position model. The record is from RNAcentral. Lineage: Bacteria; Pseudomonadati; Pseudomonadota; Gammaproteobacteria; Pasteurellales; Pasteurellaceae.
UGGCUUAUGGAGGGGGAUAACUGUGGGAAACUGCAGCUAAUACCGCGUAAUCUCUGAGGAGUAAAGGGUGGGACCUCUUGGCCACCUGCCAUAAGAUGAGCCCAAGUGGGAUUAGGUAGUUGGUGGGGUAAAGGCCUACCAAGCCUGCGAUCUCUAGCUGGUCUGAGAGGAUGACCAGCCACACUGGAACUGAGACACGGUCCAGACUCCUACGGGAGGCAGCAGUGGGGAAUAUUGCGCAAUGGGGGGAACCCUGACGCAGCCAUGCCGCGUGAAUGAAGAAGGCCUUCGGGUUGUAAAGUUCUUUCGGUAAUGAGGAAGGGAUGUUGUUAAAUAGAUGGCAUCAUUGACGUUAAUUACAGAAGAAGCACCGGCUAACUCCGUGCCAGCAGCCGCGGUAAUACGGAGGGUGCGAGCGUUAAUCGGAAUAACUGGGCGUAAAGGGCACGCAGGCGGACUUUUAAGUGAGAUGUGAAAUCCCCGAGCUUAACUUGGGAAUUGCAUUUCAGACUGGGAGUCUAGAGUACUUUAGGGAGGGGUAGAAUUCCACGUGUAGCG